This 483-nucleotide ribosomal RNA is filed under the name uncultured bacterium. Its description in RNAcentral is "bacterial SSU rRNA". It matches the Rfam family "Bacterial small subunit ribosomal RNA", at positions 28 to 507 of the family's 1533-position model. The record is from RNAcentral.
GACGAACGCUGGCGGCGUGCCUAACACAUGCAAGUCGAACGGAGAACCAAGGAAAGAGAUUUCGGUCAAUGGAACUGGUUUUUAGUGGCGGACGGGUGAGUAACGCGUGAGCAGCCUACCUUUCAGAGGGGGACAACAGCUGGAAACGGCUGCUAAUACCGCAUAACGUAUAGAGUGGGCAUCCACAUUAUACCAAAGGAGCAAUCCGCUGAAAGAUGGGCUCGCGUCUGAUUAGAUAGUUGGUAGGGUAACGGCCUACCAAGUCUGCGAUCAGUAGCCGGACUGAGAGGUUGAACGGCCACAUUGGGACUGAGAUACGGCCCAGACUCCUACGGGAGGCAGCAGUGGGGAAUAUUGGGCAAUGGGGGAAACCCUGACCCAGCAACGCCGCGUGAAGGAAGAAGGCUUUCGGGUUGUAAACUUCUUUUAUCAGGGACGAAACAAAUGACGGUACCUGAUGAAUAAGCCACGGCUAACUACGUG